GUUGGGGGGGGAGGGGCAUAAAGUGCUUUCUUGUCUGGGGUAACAGUUGACCAUCUCAGAUUCCAGCCACCCUCCAAGUCCCCAUGGCUGAAGAGAAAGAAACUGAUGCCAGGUGUGGUGAAAGGGCAGCUGAAAGUCCACAUGGCCCGUGGCAGAGCCAAGCAUCGUAACUCAGAUGUCCAUGCCCAGUCGGGUACCCUUUGAUUUUGCUCAGCAAGGAAACCCUCGGCAUGUUGCAUCAGGUCUACUGGAAGAUUCCAAAACAGUGGAAAGCAGAGCCCUGGCCCUCAGGAGUGAAAAGCUAUGUGGUCCCCCAAAAGCAAGAAUAGCAGUCAUCUAACUGAUGAGUAGGGAAAUAAAAUGUGGUCUGGCUGUAGGGUGAAAUAUUAUCCAGCCAUGAAGAGGAACAAAGGCCUGACGUGUUACUGCGUGGACCAACCUUGGAAAGAUAGUGAAGGCUGCCCCUGAGCUGAAUCUCCACCACAUAUUUGAACCCCUAUGAGGACGCAAGCAUUCCUCCAAGGGACCUGGCACCACGUGGCUCCAGAACGCUUGGCCUUUGGAAGUAGAAAACCUUUCUCAGUUCAGUGUCACGCCGUAGGAAAGAACAUGACUCCACAGAGGCUGCUUUCUCUGACCCGUGGCUCCCUAGAUCCGAACAUCUAGGAAGAAGUUUAAGAGUAACUGUCCAGCGCAAAGCAGUACCAACCAGAUGGGCUUCCUCACCCAUCGCUCCAGCAAGCUGCCUGUGUCUGUCUCAGUGAUCGUCCGAGCACGUACUGUGAACCAGGGAGAGACAUGCACUCACCUUUUGUUCUCAGAGAUUAAAAAGAUUUUUAAAACCUUAAGCCAAAAAGACACAGCAAGACAAGCAGCUUUAAGAAACGUGACCUAUACAAUGACGGCAGAGGAGCCAGAACUUCGCUCUGAGCAUUCCAUGAGAAAUCUUAUCUAUUUGUUUUUGGGUUUUUUUUUUUUUUUUAGCACAAGAUUCUCACUCUGUCACCUUUAGAGUGCCUUUAGAGCGCUGUCUUGUCAUAGCUCACAGCAACUUCAAACUCUUGGGCUCAAAGCGAUCCUCUUGCCUCAGCCUUCCAAGUAGCUGGGACUAUAGGUGCCACCCACCAUGCCCAGCUAGUUUUUAACUAAAACCAUUCUCAAAGCUGCUGUGGACAUUUUCAGUACUAGGCAUGAACUUGGGGCAUAUUUGUCGUUUUCAAGGACACAGCUUAACUGGGUGAAUUGUAUUGAGGAUAAGUUAUUUAAAUAAAACGCUAUGUGUCAUGACUUAGGUGGGUUCUUGAUUGGCACAAUGUAACACAGAUUUUGCAUAACCAAGUCUAUCUCAGGGUUCUUGUUAGAAGAUGCGAACUGGGUAUUUUUAAUCAAUGGCAGCUGGGGCUCAGUGCCUAAAGCUCAACGGCUAAGGUGCCAGCCACACACACCAGAGCUAGCAGGUUCAAAUCCAGCCUGGGCCUGCCAAACAACAAUGACAACUAAAACCAAAAAAUAGUGAGUGUUGUGGCAGGCACCUGUAGUCCCAGCUACUUUGGAGGCUGAGGCAAGAGAAUCGCAUAAGCCCAAGAGUUUGAGGUUGCUGUGAGCUGUGAUACCACGGCACUCUACUGAGGGUGACAUAGUGAGACUCUGUCUCAAAAAAAAAAAAAAAUCAAUGGUAGCUGGUAUGGAGAGUUCGGGAGUUCAGAUCUGCCCCUGCCAUCUGCCCACUGAACAACCUCCGGUUGAUUAACCAUGUCUAGACUUGUGUACCCGGCUCCGAACAGACAACAGUCACAGCACCUCACUGGCAGGCGGGUUGUAAAAAUUAAAUGAGAUAUUGCUGGUUAAUAACGGCCCACAGUCAGUACUGCCCUUUGCCCCA
This is a long non-coding RNA of Nycticebus coucang (slow loris), 1882 nucleotides long. RefSeq lists it as uncharacterized. The record is from RefSeq and is a predicted model, not a curated record. Lineage: Eukaryota; Metazoa; Chordata; Mammalia; Primates; Lorisidae. The transcript is spliced from 3 exons.